UUUUAGAUACUCAUUUGGCAAUUACCGAAAUAGUUAUCAUUUAUGAUUCUAAUCAUUUAAAAUCCUCACAAUAAUGCACACGCUAUUUCAAGUGUUCAUUUUAGUAGUCAAGUAAAUAAGUUUGUGACGAGGAUUUUGGUUGAACAAUGAGUUACCUAUGUGGUCAAGAGAAAUAUGAUGUCAAUUAAAUUAGAUGUUGAACCUGGUUAUUUAUUCAAUGACAAAGCAGUUGAAGAACUAUGAGACUUCUAAAAUUGGUUAAUACCUAUUGAAAAAAAAAAUUGAAUUGGUCAUAUCAGUAUUUGGCAUCAUUCAAAGAAAAAUAUAUAUUUCUAGUUU
Molecule: long non-coding RNA, 339 nt
Organism: Rhopalosiphum maidis (corn leaf aphid)
Lineage: Eukaryota; Metazoa; Arthropoda; Insecta; Hemiptera; Aphididae
Exons: 3
Source: RefSeq, a predicted model, not a curated record